RNAcentral lists this ribosomal RNA (396 nucleotides) under uncultured bacterium. RNAcentral describes it as "bacterial SSU rRNA". It matches the Rfam family "Bacterial small subunit ribosomal RNA", at positions 28 to 422 of the family's 1533-position model. The record is from RNAcentral.
GACGAACGCUGGCGGCGUGCUUAACACAUGCAAGUCGAGCGGUAAGGCCCUUUCGGGGUACGACGAGCGGCGAACGGGUGAGUAACACGUGGGUGACCUGCCCUCCAGCUCUGGGAGUAAGCCUGGGAAACCGGGGUCUAAUACUGGAUAUGACUCCACGACGCAUGUUGUGGGGUGGAAAGCCUUGUGCGGCUGAGGAUGGGCCCGCGGCCUAUCAGCUUGUUGGUGGGGUGAUGGCCUACCAAGGCGACGACGGGUAGCCGGCCUGAGAGGGCGACCGGCCACACUAGGACUGAGACACGGCCCAGACUCCUACGGGAGGCAGCAGUGGGGAAUCUUGCGCAAUGGGCGAAAGCCUGACGCAGCGACGCCGCGUGAGGGAUGACGGCCUGUGUA